CCUACGGGAGGCAGCAGUGAGGAAUAUUGGUCAAUGGGCGCGAGCCUGAACCAGCCAAGUCGCGUGAAGGAUGACUGCCCUACGGGUUGUAAACUUCUUUUAUGAAGGAAUAAAGUGAGGCACGUGUGCCUUUUUGUAUGUACUUUAUGAUUAAGGAUCGGCUAACUCCGUGCCAGCAGCCGCGGUAAUACGGAGGAUCCGAGCGUUAUCCGGCUUUAUUGGGUUUAAAGGGAGCGUAGAUGGGUUGUUAAGUCAAUUGUGAAAGUUUGCGGGUCAACCGUAAAAUUGCAAUGGAUACUGGCGGUCUUGAGUGCAGUUGAGGUAGGCGGAAUUCGUGGUGUAGCGGUGAAAUGCUUAGAUAUCACGAAGAACUCCGAUUGCGAAGGCAGCUUACUAGACUGCCACUGACGUUGAUGCACGAAAGUGUGGGUAUCAAACAGGAUUAGAUACCCCAGUAGUC
This 460-nucleotide ribosomal RNA is filed under the name uncultured bacterium. RNAcentral's name for it is "partial 16S ribosomal RNA". It matches the Rfam family "Bacterial small subunit ribosomal RNA", at positions 338 to 795 of the family's 1533-position model. The record is from RNAcentral.